RNAcentral lists this ribosomal RNA (1371 nucleotides) under uncultured bacterium. RNAcentral's name for it is "bacterial SSU rRNA". It matches the Rfam family "Bacterial small subunit ribosomal RNA", at positions 28 to 1381 of the family's 1533-position model. The record is from RNAcentral.
GAUGAACGCUGGCGGCGUGCCUAAUACAUGCAAGUCGAGCGAACAGAUAAGGAGCUUGCUCCUUUGACGUUAGCGGCGGACGGGUGAGUAACACGUGGAUAACCUACCUAUAAGACUGGGAUAACUUCGGGAAACCGGAGCUAAUACCGGAUAACAUAUUGAACCGCAUGGUUCAAUAGUGAAAGGCGGCUUUGCUGUCACUUAUAGAUGGAUCCGCGCCGUAUUAGCUAGUUGGUAAGGUAACGGCUUACCAAGGCAACGAUACGUAGCCGACCUGAGAGGGUGAUCGGCCACACUGGAACUGAGACACGGUCCAGACUCCUACGGGAGGCAGCAGUAGGGAAUCUUCCGCAAUGGGCGAAAGCCUGACGGAGCAACGCCGCGUGAGUGAUGAAGGUCUUCGGAUCGUAAAACUCUGUUAUCAGGGAAGAACAAAUGUGUAAGUAACUGUGCACAUCUUGACGGUACCUGAUCAGAAAGCCACGGCUAACUACGUGCCAGCAGCCGCGGUAAUACGUAGGUGGCAAGCGUUAUCCGGAAUUAUUGGGCGUAAAGCGCGCGUAGGCGGUUUUUUAAGUCUGAUGUGAAAGCCACGGCUCAACCGUGGAGGGUCAUUGGAAACUGGAAAACUUGAGUGCUUUAGAGGAAAGUGGAAUUCCAUGUGUAGCGGUGAAAUGCGCAGAGAUAUGGAGGAACACCAGUGGCGAAGGCGACUUUCUGGUCUGUAACUGACGCUGAUGUGCGAAAGCGUGGGGAUCAAACAGGAUUAGAUACCCUGGUAGUCCACGCCGUAAACGAUGAGUGCUAAGUGUUAGGGGGUUUCCGCCCCUUAGUGCUGCAGCUAACGCAUUAAGCACUCCGCCUGGGGAGUACGACCGCAAGGUUGAAACUCAAAGGAAUUGACGGGGACCCGCACAAGCGGUGGAGCAUGUGGUUUAAUUCGAAGCAACGCGAAGAACCUUACCAAAUCUUGACAUCCUUUGACCACUCUAGAGAUAGAGUUUUCCCCUUCGGAGGACAAAGUGACAGGUGGUGCAUGGUUGUCGUCAGCUCGUGUCGUGAGAUGUUGGGUUAAGUCCCGCAACGAGCGCAACCCUUAAGCUUAGUUGCCAUCAUUAAGUUGGGCACUCUAAGUUGACUGCCGGUGACAAACCGGAGGAAGGUGGGGAUGACGUCAAAUCAUCAUGCCCCUUAUGAUUUGGGCUACACACGUGCUACAAUGGACAAUACAAAGGGCAGCUAAACCGCGAGGUCAAGCAAAUCCCAUAAAGUUGUUCUCAGUUCGGAUUGUAGUCUGCAACUCGACUACAUGAAGCUGGAAUCGCUAGUAAUCGUAGAUCAGCAUGCUACGGUGAAUACGUUCCCGGGUCU